UUGGCUUUCUUCCCUCACAAAUCUAGUUGAGAUUUGGAUGGUUAAUUGUAAAAGAUGUCAGUAUCUUCCAUCUCUCGAUCAAAUCCCUACUCUUAAGGAAUUAUGGAUUAGUGAAUUAAAUAAUCUAGAGUACAUAGAAAGUGAUGGGAAUAAUAGUCUCACUGAAGGAGGAAGAGAAUUCACAUUCUUCCCCUCCCUGAAAAAGCUCUGGAUCUGGAAAUGUCCCAAACUGAAGGGAUGGCGGAAGAACAGGGAUAAUAAUGAUGAUAGAGCAACAGCAGCCGUAGCAGCAACAGCAGCAAUGGACUCUGGCCUUUCUUUGGUGGAACUCCGUGAUUGCCCUAGAUUGACCUGGGUGCCGAUGAUUCCAUUUCUCAAAGGGAAGUUGUCUUUUGAAAAGGCUAGCUUAGAACCACUACUACAGAUAAUGAAGAAAAAGACGAUGCCAACGCAAUUUGGAGGCAGGAGUUUUACGAGUCAGCUUUCACGACCUAUCAAUCUAGUGACAAUUUGGUUAAAAGAUUGCGAAGGAUGCCAGCAUUUUCCACCACUAGAUCAAAUCCAUUCUCUUAGAGAAUUGUCUUUUGAAAAUUUAAUUGAUCUAGAGUACAUUAGUACGGGGGAUAAUUCUCUUGCUGGAGGUCGAGGAACAUUCUUUCCGUCCCUAAAGAAACUUUGGAUCUGGAAUUGUCCUAAUCUGAAGGGAUGGAAUAAGCAGGUGGAUGAUGAUUCAACAACUACAACAGUAGCAAAACUGCCGUGGUUUCCUUGUCUUUCUUUGUUAGAAAUA
Molecule: unclassified non-coding RNA, 790 nt
Filed under: Hevea brasiliensis (rubber tree)
Lineage: Eukaryota; Viridiplantae; Streptophyta; Magnoliopsida; Malpighiales; Euphorbiaceae
Source: RNAcentral